AGAGUUUGAUCCUGGCUCAGAGUGAACGCUGGCGGCGUGCCUAACACAUGCAAGUCGAACGAGAACGGGUAUUAGUUUACUAAUACUGUCAGCUAAGUGGCGCACGGGUGAGUAAUAUAUAGUUAAUCUGCCCCGAAGAAGAGAAUAAUUGUUGGAAACGACUUGUAAUGCUCUAUAUGCCUUUAUCACAUAAGUGAGCAAGGGAAAUAUUUAUAGCUUCGGGAUGAGACUGUACGGUAUCAGAUAGUUGGUGAGGUAAUGGCUCACCAAGUCUAUGACACCUAACUGGUUUGAGAGGAUGAUCAGUCACACUGGAACUGAGACACGGUCCAGACUCCUACGGGAGGCAGCAGUGGGGAAUAUUGCACAAUGGAGGAAACUCUGAUGCAGCAACGCCGCGUGGAGGAUGACACAUUUCGGUGCGUAAACUCCUUUUAUUAGGGAAGAUAAUGACGGUACCUAAUGAAUAAGCACCGGCUAACUCCGUGCCAGCAGCCGCGGUAAUACGGGGGGUGCAAGCGUUACUCGGAAUCACUGGGCGUAAAGAGCAUGUAGGCUGGUUUGUAAGUUGGAAGUGAAAUCCUAUGGCUCAACCAUAGAACUGCUUCCAAAACUACUUACCUAGAGUAUGGGAGAGGUAGGUGGAAUUUCUGGUGUAGGGGUAAAAUCCGUAGAGAUCAGAAGGAAUACCGAUUGCGAAGGCGAUCUACUGGAACAUUACUGACGCUCAGAUGCGAAAGCGUGGGGAGCAAACAGGAUUAGAUACCCUGGUAGUCCACGCCCUAAACGAUGCACACUAGUUGUUGCUAUGCUAGACAUAGCAGUAAUGCAGUUAACACAGUAA
RNAcentral lists this ribosomal RNA (844 nucleotides) under bacterium endosymbiont of Osedax mucofloris. Its description in RNAcentral is "bacterial SSU rRNA". It matches the Rfam family "Bacterial small subunit ribosomal RNA", at positions 8 to 863 of the family's 1533-position model. The record is from RNAcentral.